Long non-coding RNA from Patella vulgata (common limpet), 665 nucleotides. RefSeq lists it as uncharacterized. The record is from RefSeq and is a predicted model, not a curated record. Lineage: Eukaryota; Metazoa; Mollusca; Gastropoda; Patellidae. The transcript is spliced from 5 exons.
AUGGAUAAUAAGUGAGUGAAAUAAUAACAAUAUGUAAUUAAAGAUAAUUGAGUUUGGGUUUGGUAAAAUUUCUAAAUAGUUAUUAACUUUCGUGAUUAGAUUGGCGCCAGUAUUGAAGAAGUCUUGAAGUAAAGAUAACAGAAAUCAAGAUGAAGGUUUUAUUGUUCCUUGGGUUGACCAUGUUGUCAAGUAUUGUUAUGUCACAGAAUCCAGAUAGAAGAGUAUCUGUAUGUGUGUAUAAAGGAAGAAGAUAUCGUCAUGGUGAAAUUGUGACCCUCCCUAGAAGCCCUUGUGCCAGAUUCAGGUGUGAAUAUAACACCCUACGAUUAAUUAACCAAGAUUGUGUUGACAGAAAGGGACAAUGUGUCAGGGUCGGUCAAACAUGGGUCGAAGCAUGUAUAACCUACAGAUGCUCAACAAGAAAACUGAACAACAAACAACAUUAUAGGGGAAGAAUAUUAGAAAUGAAAUGUCCGGGUGCUAGAGGCCAGUGUCACUCACCAGGCACAAGUUUCGAGUUCAGAAUCGGAAUGCAAGUUUAUCCUAGUUGUACCUGUAGAAUUUGGUUAGAGGGACAGAGACGGAGAAUGAAAUACUUUUGUUAAAAUACAUUUUCUUUGUAUAUCGAUUUUUUUUUAUAUUCAAUAAAAUAUUGUAAUAUUUUG